Phycodurus eques (leafy seadragon) is the source of this 3155-nucleotide RNA transcript. It is a transcript of the gene named juxtaposed with another zinc finger protein 1, with no coding region annotated. The transcript is spliced from 6 exons. The record is from RefSeq and is a predicted model, not a curated record. NCBI's taxonomy places the organism in Eukaryota, Metazoa, Chordata, Actinopteri, Syngnathiformes, Syngnathidae.
CAGCUGCGUCCGCCGCUGUCCUGUCUGGCCGCCCCGGUGUCUGCUCCGCACUCUUCCCCGCUCCCUCCCCGGACCCGAAGCCUUCCCUGCCAGCCCGCCUCCCUAGUUUCCACCGCUCCGGCUCCCGCGAGAACCCCGCCGCCCGGUGAAUGCACCAGCGCGCCCCCACCGGUGAAAACAACAUGACGGGCAUCGCCGCCGCUUCCUUCUUCUCCAAUUCCUGCAGGUUCGGAGGCUGCGGGCUCCAGUUCGAGUCUCUCGCCGAGCUCAUCGUUCACAUCGAGGACAAUCACAUCGACACAGAUCCUCGGGUCCUGGAGAAGCAGGAGCAACAGCAGCCCACCUACUUGGCCCUCAGCUACAUCAACAGGUUCAUGACGGACGCUGCGCGGCGGGAACAGGAGACCAUGAAGAAGAAGGCCACGCCCAAACUGUCACUGUCCAUCACGGGCGCAGUGUCGAGGAACAGCACGGCCACGCCCCCUCGCCACACCAGCGGCAACCUGACGCCGCCGGUCACGCCCCCCAUCACUCCCUCCUCCUCCUUCCGCAGCAGCACGCCGACAGGUAUGACAGGCAGCGAGUACGACGAAGAGGAGGUCGACUACGAGGAGUCGGACAGCGACGAGUCGUGGACCACUGAAAGUGCCAUCAGCUCUGAGUCCAUCCUCAGUUCCAUGUGCAUGAACGGCGGGGAAGAGAAGCCGUUUGCAUGCCCAGUGCCGGGCUGCAAGAAGAGAUACAAGAACGUGAACGGCAUCAAGUACCACGCCAAGAAUGGCCACCGCACGCAGAUCCGCGUGAGGAAGCCGUUUAAGUGCCGCUGCGGGAAGAGCUACAAGACGUCGCAGGGCCUGAGGCACCACACCAUCAACUUCCACCCGCCAGUCUCCACCGAGAUUCUGCGUAAGAUUCAAGGCUAGACCUGAAAAGGCCUCGCGGUCUGCUACCCCAAAAUGUUACCCUUAAAAGUUCCUCACCUGACACUAAAGUGCAUGCUUUAAGUUCUUUUUACAUUAUUAUUUCCUUUUUCUAUCAUCUUAAAUCACUCGUAUUUCCAAAAGUAUAUCUUUGUAUUUUUUUUAUUGUACAUUUGCACAUUUCGUAUAUGCUAUCAUUUGUUUUUCUCGGUUUGACUUGCAUAAGGUGCUAAAGAAAGUUGGCAGGAAGUGAGAGACAGGAAGUGCAACCAAGCCGGCCCCCGCACGAUGAUUAAGUUACCUUCCGGUCUCCGAUCCAAACCAGGAAGUGUGUUCACUCCUUUUGCUUUGUUUACUGACUUUGGAUCGGCGGCCUCACGGGAACUUCUGGGGUUCUGCGUCACUCCUGUGGAGCAGGAGGGACAGCGGUGGUGUUGCCCUCUUACAAGGAUUCAAAUAGUCACUCAUUGCCUCUUUGGGGGGGUCAAAAGACAUUAUCCACAUGAUCAGCAAGACCAUUGUGUUUGUGAUGGGUCCAGUAAUAUUACAAGGAUUCAAAUAGUCACUCAUUGCCUCUUUGGGGGGGUCAAAAGACAUUAUCCACAUGAUCAGCAAGACCAUUGUGUUUGUGAUGGGUCCAGUAAUAUUUGCACUCAUCCUCCAUUCUUUUGUGCAUUAUUAAGUCUCCAUGGUAACAACUCCUAACACAGGCCAAUGGCAGUAUUACACGUGGAGGUGGUGGGUGGGUGCAACCCACAAACGCCAGAGUCCCAUAUUUACAAUGUACAGUGAAUGUAUCGUAAUGUGUCCUUUUGUCAAGUGCUUUUAAAUUAUAUUUUCUUAUGUAAUGUGGACAUGAGUGUUUUGUAUCGGGGAGGGAGGGGAUGUACUGUCUUUCUAUAUAAAAGAGAAGCUGCUUCAAUGUAAACAGGUGCCUGCCUGGGUGAGAAAAAAAAAAAGAAAGAAGCAAAAAUAAAGACUGACUGUCAUGUUGUGCUUUCUUGGAAUUUUCUUUUUUUUUUUUAUACUCAAGUCACUUGCGCUUGGACAAGUUCAUUUAUUCAUCAAGAUCCCUGCCAUUCACACACUGGCCUUGUGAUUGGUAUGCAAUUUGUAAAGCUUGAAUAAACAACACCGUCAGAGCUCACGGAAUGACAGCAGUGAUGCAGAUAACACGUAGAUGACAUUCAUUCAUCAGGUCCAACAUGGAUACAGAGCAAUUGCUGUGAUUUUCAUGAGAACAUGAAAUAUGGACAUACAUGACCAUUACGUUUGAAUGAAAAACAGUUUGAGCAUUUACACCCUAUCUUUAAUAUCCAGCUUAAGGUCCAUGUGCCAGUACCCUAUUUGUCCUCAUAGAUCCAGCUUAAGGUCCAUGUACUAGUACCCCAUUUCUCCUCGGUAGUAAGACAAUUCAAGAUGAAUGUCAUACCUUUUUUCAACUACAAGUGCCGCUUUUUUCAACUACAAGUACUAUUUUGAAAUUAAACCUUACUGUUAAAUUACUGUGCUGCACUAGUUACACUACUGGACCCAACUAGUAGAUGUGUCACGCACAAGUAGCCUUCUGGAACCUACUAGUAGCACCGAAAUGCCCACAAGUAGUUUUGCCUCCUAGUAACAUGUAAUAGUCGUCCUACUAGCGUGUACAAAUAUCAUACAGUAGUAGUAAUGGAAAAAAAUAUUAGUAACCUGUGUCAUUCUCCUACUGCGCCCUGCUUGUUCUACGAGUGUGCUAAAUUGUCUUACUAGUGAGGACAAAGAGUGUGCUAGUACAUGAACCUUUCACUAGAUAUCAAAUAAACGCCCAUCUUAAGAUCCAUGUACUAGUACGGUGCAUUGUCCUCACUCACACCAAAAUGCCCACACGUAGUUUUUCUUCACUAGAAACAUAGUUGUCCAAUCAAUGUGCAGAAAUGUCAUGGAAUAGUGCAGUGGUUCUCAAACCUUUGACUGCAAGUACCAACUAAAAAAAAAAUAUUCAAGUACUACCAUAAUGACCAACAUUAAAAUGCAGUAGCGUAGUAGGCCUAACUGUUAAUCAAAAACAAUAAUUAUUUUUUUAUUCCUAAAGUAUUUCAUAUUAUUCUAAGUCACUGUAACAUUACGCAGUUUUAACAUUAACACACUGCGCUUAAAUAUAGGAAAAUAAAAAAAUCUGCCAAUGGAAAUAAUAUGAUUUGACUUGAUAAGAUCCUUAAACUAAGCUCUCGUAUCUUAAAACAAGGCUGAAAA